RNAcentral lists this long non-coding RNA (904 nucleotides) under Gossypium barbadense (sea-island cotton). RNAcentral's name for it is "long non-coding RNA (GBAR_LNC006111)". Lineage: Eukaryota; Viridiplantae; Streptophyta; Magnoliopsida; Malvales; Malvaceae. The record is from RNAcentral.
GUUUUUAAACUAAGCCAAAAGUUCACUUUUUUACAUUUUACACAUUAGAAAUCAGAACCCCAUAAACGGAUAAAUAACUUCUCAUCAAUCAACAGAGUAGAAAUAAAUAAUUAAUCAAAGCCCAGAAUCCCUAGCUAUUACAAAUUUAUUCUUCCUUUCUAAGGAAACAGUCAAACUCAAAUAAAUAGAGAUGAUUAUGAAGAGCAAUUCAAUCACUGAAAUCUGCUCGGAGUUGAAGAUAACACGAAACUAUCAGAAGAAACUAACGCAUUUACACAGACAAAAAUGAUAAAAUUAAGAAUCUGAGAAACAAAAAAAUUGAAAAUACAAAUCUUUAAAGCACCUAAAAUCAAACAACGAAAUCGAAAUAAUACCUGCCCUCUACUAACAAUGGGGCCAAGCUUGCAACCUUCUUCCAAGGGAUCUGAAAUUCUACCGCAAUACUUUCCUGUCAAACAAAUAACAAGCUUCGACUGGUCAUGAAUUGGAAAUAGAAAUAUAUAUAUAUAUAACAAAAUUGACGAAGACAUGCUACAGGCUUAGUUCAAGAACUCAUGAUAGCAAAAUCUAAGGUGUUCCCUUCUUGGAUCUAAGGUGUGACAUGCUACAGGCCAAAAGAAGACUAAACAAAGGUCUCAACUUUGAAACGCAGAAAACAAAGGUCGUUCUUCACAUUCAAAGGUCGUUCCUAUACAAGAAGAGUUAUGAAGUUAUGAGAAAGGAGAAAUAGAAUCAUGUUUUAGGAGCUCAUCAUAAAAAAAGAAAAUGUACCCUUUGAGGAGAUGAAGAUGAAGGGCAAAUGGAUGCUUGAUUUGGGGAUAAAUGUUGGAAGAAAUCUGGAGCAGAAUUUUAGGGAGAAGAAAGCAAGCUAUUUUGGUCCCAAAAUGUGAAAAUGUAUUCGGCG